CCCUUAGACGUUCUGGGCCGCACGCGCGCUACACUGACGAAGGCAACGAGCUACUCUUCACCGAAAGGUGUGGGUAAUCUUUUGAAACUUCGUCGUGCUGGGGAUAGAUCCUUGCAAUUUUUGAUCUUAAACGAGGAAUUCCUAGUAAGCGCAAGUCAUCAACUUGCGUUGAUUACGUCCCUGCCCUUUGUACACACCGCCCGUCGCUACUACCGAUUGAAUGGUUUAGUGAGGCCUUCGGAUCCGCGAUUUUAUUGUGGAGAAGUUGGACAAACUCAGUCAUUGAGAGGAAGUAAAAGUCGUAACA
RNAcentral lists this ribosomal RNA (307 nucleotides) under uncultured eukaryote. Its description in RNAcentral is "partial 18S ribosomal RNA". It matches the Rfam family "Eukaryotic small subunit ribosomal RNA", at positions 1470 to 1796 of the family's 1831-position model. The record is from RNAcentral.